UACGGAGGAUCCAAGCGUUAUCCGGAAUCAUUGGGUUUAAAGGGUCCGUAGGCGGUUUGGUAAGUCAGUGGUGAAAGCCCAUCGCUCAACGGUGGAAACGGGCCAUUGAUACUGCCAGACUUGAAUUAUUAGGGAAGUAACUAGAAUAUGUAGGUGUAGCGGUGAAAUGCUUAAGAGAUUACAUGGAAUACCAAUUGCGAAGGCAG
This 206-nucleotide ribosomal RNA is filed under the name uncultured bacterium. Its description in RNAcentral is "partial 16S ribosomal RNA". It matches the Rfam family "Bacterial small subunit ribosomal RNA", at positions 524 to 724 of the family's 1533-position model. The record is from RNAcentral.